RNAcentral lists this ribosomal RNA (519 nucleotides) under uncultured eukaryote. RNAcentral's name for it is "SSU rRNA". It matches the Rfam family "Eukaryotic small subunit ribosomal RNA", at positions 1161 to 1703 of the family's 1831-position model. The record is from RNAcentral.
AGGGCACCACCAGGAGUGGAGCCUGCGGCUUAAUUUGACUCAACACGGGAAAUCUCACCAGGCCCGGACACUGGAAGGAUUGACAGAUUGAGAGCUCUUUCUCGAUUCGGUGGGUGGUGGUGCAUGGCCGUUCUUAGUUGGUGGAGUGAUUUGUCUGGUUAAUUCCGAUAACGAACGAGACUCUGUCCUGCUAAAUAGUUCCCGCGUCCUUUGUUGCGCGGGAAAUUCUUCUUAGAGGGACUGGCGGCGUCUAGCCGCACGAGAUUGACCAAUAACAGGUCUGUGAUGCCCUUAGAUGUUCUGGGCCGCACGCGCGCUACACUGAAGGGAUCAGCGUGUCUUCCCUUCCCGAGAGGGACGGGUAACCCGCUGAACCCCCUUCGUGGUAGGGAUCGGGGCUUGCAAUUAUUCCCCGUGAACCAGGAAUUCCCAGUAAGCGCAAGUCAUAAGCUUGCGUUGAUUACGUCCCUGCCCUUUGUACACACCGCCCGUCGCUACUACCGAUUGAACGUUUUAGUG